RNAcentral lists this small nuclear RNA (346 nucleotides) under Marmota marmota marmota (Alpine marmot). RNAcentral describes it as "7SK RNA (ENSMMMG00000011542.1)". It matches the Rfam family "7SK RNA". From Rfam's summary of the family: 7SK was discovered as an abundant small nuclear RNA in the mid-70s but a possible function has only recently been suggested. Two independent studies have found that 7SK RNA binds the CDK9/cyclin T complex (known as elongation factor P-TEFb). The record is from Rfam by way of RNAcentral. Lineage: Eukaryota; Metazoa; Chordata; Mammalia; Rodentia; Sciuridae.
UACGAAGGUGAUCUGGUUGUCACAUCUGUCACCCUACUGAUCACCAGGGUUGAUAUGGCUGAUGUGUUUGGCUAGGUAGGUCCCAUCCUCCCUCACUGAACCAUGUGCAUCCUUCCUGAACCUGUGCCUUUGAUGGAAAAGGACAACCUUCUCUGAUAGAGAAGGACCAUUUUUUGGUCAAGUGCAAAUGAGUAGAUGUGCUCCCUUGGUAGAACCUCCAAACAUUCUCUCAAGUGUCCACUGAUUCAGGUUUGUGAGACACAAGCUGCUGUUGUGAAGAGACAGAUAUCUCAAACACUUAAACUCAAACCCUUCUACAGAGAGUAAAAGUGUUAAACCAGUUGAG